RNAcentral lists this transfer RNA (47 nucleotides) under Salvia cuspidata subsp. gilliesii. RNAcentral's name for it is "partial tRNA-Leu". Lineage: Eukaryota; Viridiplantae; Streptophyta; Magnoliopsida; Lamiales; Lamiaceae. The record is from RNAcentral.
AAAAUCCGUCGACUUUAAAAAUCGUGAGGGUUCAAGUCGCUAAUACA